GAACAAGCCUGCAGGAUCCACCUGGACAUCACAAUGAAGCUGAUUUUUUCUCUCACUCUCAUCUGCGCGCUCUACAGCACAGCUGGAGCCCUAACCUGUACAGAGGGUUCGACCGAAACAUCAACAACAUGCAGCUCAGAGACCAUGUGCAUAGUAGCUACCUUCCUUGUAACUCAAAAUGGAACCUCAGCAUCACUAACCUACAAAGCCUGUGCAUCAUCCGCUCUGUGUCCGCUCACAGGCAAUACGACUGCUUCAGUCAACUUUGGUGCUCAAAGUGCAACUGCAUCUGCUCAGUGCUGCAACACUGACAACUGCAACUCACAAAAUCUGUCUUCACCCACUGCUCAGUCACCUAACUCCCUCCAGUGCAUUGCUU
This is a long non-coding RNA of Fundulus heteroclitus (mummichog), 379 nucleotides long. RefSeq lists it as uncharacterized. The record is from RefSeq and is a predicted model, not a curated record. NCBI's taxonomy places the organism in Eukaryota, Metazoa, Chordata, Actinopteri, Cyprinodontiformes, Fundulidae. The transcript has 4 exons.